This 480-nucleotide ribosomal RNA is filed under the name uncultured bacterium. RNAcentral describes it as "bacterial SSU rRNA". It matches the Rfam family "Bacterial small subunit ribosomal RNA", at positions 8 to 507 of the family's 1533-position model. The record is from RNAcentral.
AGAGUUUGAUCAUGGCUCAGGACAAACGCUGGCGGCGUGCCUAACACAUGCAAGUCGAACGAGGUCCAUCCUUCGGGAGAAGACCUAGUGGCGAACGGGUGAGUAACACGUGAAGAACCUGCCCCGAAGACCGGGAUAACCCUCCGAAAGGAGAGCUAAUACCGGAUACCCCCACCGAACCGCAUGGUUUGGUGAGGAAAUGGAUUCCGCUUCGGGAGGGCUUCGCGGCCUAUCAGCUAGUUGGUGGGGUAACGGCCCACCAAGGCAUCGACGGGUAGCUGGUCUGAGAGGACGAUCAGCCACACUGGGACUGAGACACGGCCCAGACUCCUACGGGAGGCAGCAGUGGGAAUCUUGCGCAAUGGGCGAAAGCCUGACGCAGCAACGCCGCGUGGGGAUGAAGGCUCUCGGGUUGUAAACCCCUUUCAGCAGGGACGAAUCAAGACGGUACUUGCAGAAGAAGCCCCGGCUAACUACGUG